GGGCAUGUGGUGUAGUUGGUUAUCACAUUCGCUUCGCAUGAAUCCUGAGAUCACGUGACUGCGAAAGGUGUCCGGUUCAAUUCCGGACAUGUCCA
Dentipellis sp. KUC8613 is the source of this 95-nucleotide non-coding RNA. The record is from the annotation of a GenBank genome assembly. NCBI's taxonomy places the organism in Eukaryota, Fungi, Basidiomycota, Agaricomycetes, Russulales, Hericiaceae.